AUCCUGAUGAUCAGUCCCAAAUAGGACGAAGUGUACAUCCUAGAU
RNAcentral lists this non-coding RNA (45 nucleotides) under Trichobilharzia regenti. Lineage: Eukaryota; Metazoa; Platyhelminthes; Trematoda; Strigeidida; Schistosomatidae. The record is from RNAcentral.